AACCGGGAUUGCCUUAGUAACGGCGAGUGAAGCGGCAAAAGCUCAAAUUUGAAAUCUGGUACCUUCGGUGCCCGAGUUGUAAUUUGGAGAGGGCAACUUUGGGGCCGUUCCUUGUCUAUGUUCCUUGGAACAGGACGUCAUAGAGGGUGAGAAUCCCGUGUGGCGAGGAGUGCGGUUCUUUGUAAAGUGCCUUCGAAGAGUCGAGUUGUUUGGGAAUGCAGCUCUAAGUGGGUGGUAAAUUCCAUCUAAAGCUAAAUAUUGGCGAGAGACCGAUAGCGAACAAGUACAGUGAUGGAAAGAUGAAAAGAACUUUGAAAAGAGAGUGAAAAAGUACGUGAAAUUGUUGAAAGGGAAGGGCAUUUGAUCAGACAUGGUGUUUUGUGCCCUCUGCUCCUUGUGGGUAGGGGAAUCUCGCAUUUCACUGGGCCAGCAUCAGUUUUGGUGGCAGGAUAAAUCCAUAGGAAUGUAGCUUGCCUCGGUAAGUAUUAUAGCCUGUGGGAAUACUGCCAGCUGGGACUGAGGACUGCGACGUAAGUCAAGGAUGCUGGCAUAAUGGUUAUAUGCCGCCCGUCUUGAAACACGGAC
RNAcentral lists this ribosomal RNA (585 nucleotides) under Saccharomyces cerevisiae (brewer's yeast). RNAcentral describes it as "eukaryotic LSU rRNA". It matches the Rfam family "Eukaryotic large subunit ribosomal RNA", at positions 67 to 666 of the family's 3401-position model. Lineage: Eukaryota; Fungi; Ascomycota; Saccharomycetes; Saccharomycetales; Saccharomycetaceae. The record is from RNAcentral.